GAUGAACGCUAGCGGCAGGCCUAACACAUGCAAGUCGAGGGGCAGCACAGAAACAGCAAUGUUUUGGUGGCGACCGGCGGACGGGUGCGUAACGCGUAUGCAACCUACCUUUAACAGGGGGAUAACGGAGAGAAAUUUCCACUAAUACCCCAUAACAUCGAUCAAGGCAUCUUGAUUGGUUGAAAACUCCGGUGGUUAAAGAUGGGCAUGCGUUGUAUUAGGUAGUUGGUGAGGUAAUGGCUCACCAAGCCUACGAUACAUAGGGGGACUGAGAGGUUAGCCCCCCACACUGGUACAGAGACACGGACCAGACUCCUACGGGAGGCAGCAGUGAGGAGUAUUGGUCAAUGGGGGCAAUCCUGAACCAGCCAUGCCGCGUGCAGGAAGACGGCUCUAUGAGUUGUAAACUGCUUUUAAACAGGGAUAAAGCACAGUAUGUAUACUGUGUUGAAGGUACUGUAAGAAUAAGGAUCGGCUAACUCCGUGCCAGCCGCCGCGGUAA
RNAcentral lists this ribosomal RNA (502 nucleotides) under uncultured bacterium. RNAcentral describes it as "partial 16S ribosomal RNA". It matches the Rfam family "Bacterial small subunit ribosomal RNA", at positions 28 to 523 of the family's 1533-position model. The record is from RNAcentral.